UACGUAGGCAGCGAGCGUUGUUCGGAGUUACUGGGCGUAAAGCGCGCGUAGGCGGCUUUGCAAGUCGGGUGUGAAAUCCCCAGGCUUAACCUGGGAACUGCAUUCGAGACUGCAUUGCUAGAGUAUGGGAGAGGGAAGUGGAAUUUCCGGUGUAGCGGUGAAAUGCGUAGAUAUCGGAAGGAACAUCAGUGGCGAAAGCGACUUCCUGGACCAAUACUGACGCUCAUGUGCGAAAGCGUGGGGAGCAAACAGG
This 253-nucleotide ribosomal RNA is filed under the name uncultured bacterium. RNAcentral describes it as "partial 16S ribosomal RNA". It matches the Rfam family "Bacterial small subunit ribosomal RNA", at positions 524 to 776 of the family's 1533-position model. The record is from RNAcentral.